CGGGGCGUAGCUCAGUUGGUAGAGCGCGUGGUUCGGGACCACGAGGCCGAAGGUUCGAGUCCUUUCGCUCCGACCA
This 76-nucleotide transfer RNA is filed under the name Candidatus Peribacteraceae bacterium. RNAcentral describes it as "tRNA-Pro". It matches the Rfam family "tRNA". Rfam says of the family: Transfer RNA (tRNA) molecules are approximately 80 nucleotides in length. Their secondary structure includes four short double-helical elements and three loops (D, anti-codon, and T loops). Further hydrogen bonds mediate the characteristic L-shaped molecular structure. tRNAs have two regions of fundamental functional importance: the anti-codon, which is responsible for specific mRNA codon recognition, and the 3' end, to which the tRNAs corresponding amino acid is attached (by aminoacyl-tRNA synthetases). tRNAs cope with the degeneracy of the genetic code in two manners: having more than one tRNA (with a specific anti-codon) for a particular amino acid; and 'wobble' base-pairing, i.e. permitting non-standard base-pairing at the 3rd anti-codon position. The record is from RNAcentral. RNAcentral also lists the same sequence under 1 other name. Lineage: Bacteria; Candidatus Peregrinibacteriota; Candidatus Peribacteria; Candidatus Peribacterales.